AUGUCAACCAUGCAAGAUUCAACUUCUUCUGUUAAAGUCAAAUGGACUGCUUACAUGGAAAAGGCUGAAUCACACUAUCUUGAAGAUACUGCUGCUGUGGAAAAUGGGAAGAAAGAGAUGGAAGAGGUGCUACAGAAUUGUGUGCAAAAGGCUAAAUUGGGAGCUACACAAUGGACAAAUGCUCAACGGUCUUUAUUAGACCUAGAGGAGAGAAAUGUUGCAUUUGUCGAUGAAAUUGUCAGGGGUGGAAUGGAUGCAAAUCAAGCAUUACGUGUAAGAUUUUCAUCUGGAGUGUCAUCCACUCUCGAAGACACUGAUGCUGCUAGCAAACACCUACUCUCAUCUAUUGACCAUUCCUUACAACUAGACCGUGAUGCUUGUGCAAACCUUGAUUCUACAAUUGUUCCUUGUUGUGGAGAGCUGCGAGAACUGAACAGCGGACACUACCACAAGGUUGUUGAAAUUACAGAGUACACUGGAAAAAGUCUUUCACAAGAAUACAUGGUGGAUGAACCGUCUUGUUUGACCCCAACAAAGAGACCAUUUAAUCUUCCAAGCGUAGAGUCUAUUGAAGAACUAAAAACUCCUGCUUUCGAAGAGUUGUUGAAUUCAUUUUGGGAUGGCAAAUCCUCAAAGCUAUCAAAUGGAGAUGUAAAUCAUAGUUUAGAGAUAGAGGUAGAUCCUUCUUUACUAGAGUCAAGAGUUCCCCUCACUGCUGUAAAUUAGAAGAGUCCACCCCAAACUACAUUUACAUACAUCAUAAUAUAUGGCAAUUAAGGAGGAGACUGGAGAGUUGUACAUUAUGUGUCUUGAAUCUCCAUCUUCUCACCUAUACGUAGCAGAUAAUUUAUCCUUAUUCUUAUUUGAUUUGAGUGAUCGAAAUAUGUAAUGUUUGUGCUGAACAUGUUAGUUUCAAGUGUCUGUGGAU
RNAcentral lists this unclassified non-coding RNA (928 nucleotides) under Hevea brasiliensis (rubber tree). The record is from RNAcentral. Lineage: Eukaryota; Viridiplantae; Streptophyta; Magnoliopsida; Malpighiales; Euphorbiaceae.